AAACUUCAACCGACAACAAUUAACAACAACCAAUGUAACUUCAACAACCACCGUAACAACGGCAGUAACGUAUAAUGCUGUAACGCGAAUAACAACAACUCAGCGAUAUCACGGUGACAUAUCAACCACAGCGUAACAACAAUAUCAAUGACAAACAACAACAAAAAUCAACACAACACAAUCAACAAAAACGAUACCAACCAUCAGUCAACCUAACCGUUUCGAAAUUUUUUACCAUUUUACCCCUCCGUACAGCCAAUAAUGGCUGAUAAUUUCAUCAAAUUUUUCCUUUCUCAGAUUAUGUCAUCCGUUUCUGAUGAGAAGCCAAUGGAUACAAGAAAUUAAAAUUUGAAAUUCAACUUUUCAAAUUCAAAAUCCUAAUUUCCCCCUAAAUUUUCCUAUAAAUAGAGAUUGAGGGAUAGAGGAAAGGAAGGAUACCGUAAAAUUAUAUGAAAUACAGGGAUAAAAAACUCUCUCUAAAAAUUAUAUAUUUGCGUUGAGUUUUAAACUCUGCUAUCAAUUGCGUGUUUUUAAACCCUCGCUAUAAAUAAAAAAAAAUUCUACGCUAUUCAAAAAGAUUGCCGCUUAUCCCAAAACAUUUUCCCUCUAUUUAAUUAAAAGCUCUCCCUUAUUUCCCCCAAAUCUCUCAUUCCUCCCAAAUUACCGGACUCUCUCAUUUUCCCCCAAAUUGAUUCCGGUCGGUCGACCAUUGCUAUUCCGGUCGGCCAUUGCACAUAGUGGAUUCUGAGGUUGGUGCUGCAAUUGAGCUGGACUCCAAGGCUGGUAUUGCAAUUGGCAGAUUAAUGAGAUUUCUCUUCAAAGUCGGUUUCGACAUAAAAAUAUAGUUCGCUAUCAUGGCACAAACAAGGACGAAAGCAAACUGUAUAUCUUUCUUGAGCUUGUUACAAAAGGUUCGCUUGCAAGUGUCUAUCGUAAGUAUCACUUGCGUGAUUCCCAUGUUUCGGAUUACAACAGGCAAAUCUUGAGUGGGUUGCAUUAUCUUCAUUCCAGAGAAGUGAAGCACAGGCGAUACAUAUGUUCUCUGUACAUUGCUGAUUUGUGGUUAUUAUUUGUCCUCUUACAAUUUAUGGGAGCAGUGUCUUGAUUCUCUGUUUAAGAUAUGUGCAUGUAGAACUUAUAUCUCAAUCACUAGAAGAACGUUUAGUUGUCGUCACUGGACUUUUUACAUGAUGUCAUGGAAACUUCUUCUUUCUAAGACUUUUGUUAUGCUCUUCUAAGGGACAUUAAGUGUGCCAAUAUAUUGGUGGGUGUUAGUGGUUCAGUGAAGCUUGCGGAUUUCGGACUGUCAAAGGUGAGAUAGUUAUGCAUUCUGUAGUUAUUUCCUUUUCUUGGUAUCUUAUAUCAAUCAACUUAGCCUUAAUCGGAAACUAGCUGGGGAUGGCUAUAUGAAUUGUCUAUAUCCGUUCCAAUUUUAUUGGUUCAUUUUAAUACCUAAAAAGUUGUCUUUUAGAACAAAUUAAAACUACUUGAGGUGAAUGGCUGAGAUCAACCUGACUAUUUUAAAGCUUCCCGUCUUCUUCAAGCAAAGGGGCCUCCUCUUUUACCCUUCAUGCGCUUUUGCUCUUCCAACAUGGAUUCUCAGAAUCCCUAUAACAUUUGUUGAGUGUGCUAUGUGGACAUUCCUGACAUAUUAUGUCAUGGGAUUUGAUCCAGUGGUUUCGAGGUAAGCGGCGAAAAAGGCAAUACAAAAUAUUAAUUAGAUUGCCUUUAUAAUUUCAUUAGUAUUAAGGGACUACUACUGUUUUGCAGAUUGUUCAAACAAUUCUUGCUUCUCGUACUAGUACACCAGAUGGCAUAAGGAUUGUACAGAUUCAUUGGAGCAGCGGGGAGAACAAUGGGAGUCACUAGCACAUUUGGAGCAUUUGCACUGGUUUUACAAUUUGCAUUUUCUAGAUUUGUACUCUCUAGAGGUUGCGACAGAGGAUGUGAAGAAAUAGUGGAUCUGGGGUUACUGGAUCUCACCAUUGAUGUAUUCUGUGAAUUCAAUUCUUGUGAAUGAAUUUGAUGGGAAGAAGUGCAAACAUCUUUAAGAAGCCACAAGUUAUGAAAUCAGACGACAAUGAGAAUGCAGAAAAUGAAAGGCUCAUUGAGGGAAGUGAAACUGAGGUUCAGGACAAGAAGAGGGGAAUGGUUCUUCCAUUUGGACCACACUCCAUCAUUUUUGAUAACAUUGAAUACUCUGUUGACAUGCCUCAGGUAACUUUCCAAAAAUAGUUACUGACAAUAUUCGUGACUCGUGAGGCUUUUAUUUUCUAUGAACAACCAACCCAACAUUCUAAUGAAAUGCAAGAACUAAAAGACCAAGGUUCCACUGAAGAUAGAUUGGUACUUCUAAAGGGUGUGAGUGGAGCUUUCCAGCCAGGUGUUCUCACAGCUUUGAUGGGUGUUAGUGGUGCUGGUAAAACAACAUUGAUGGAUGUCUUGGCUGGAAGAAAAAUAGAAGGAUAUAUUGAUGCUGAUGUCAAGAUUUCUGGAUAUCCUAAGAAGCAAGAAACCUUUGCAUGUAUCUCUGGAUAUUAUGAACAGAAUGACAUUCAUUUGCCUUAUGUUACUGUUUAUGAGUCCUUGCUACAACUUAGCUUGGCAGCGUUUACCUCAAGACGUUGACAAAAAUAAGAGAAAGAUAUUUUUGAGGAAGUUAUGGAACUUGUAGAGCUAACUCCAUUAAUAUCAGCUUUAGUUGGAUUGCCUGGAGUUGAUGGUCUAUCAACCGAGCAACGUAAAAGGCUGACCAUUGCAGUUGAACUAGUAGCAGACCCCUCUAUCAUUUUCAUGGAUGAAUCGACUUCUGGGUUGUAUGCAAGAGCUGCUGCCAUUGUAAUGAGAGCUGUUAGGAACACUGUCGAUACUGGAAGAACCGUCGUCUGUACCAUUCAUCAGCCUAGCAUCGACAUUUUUGAAGCCUUCGAUGAGCCAAGUAUGCGGCUACUGGACUAUUUCGCCCAUGGAUGCAAGGAGAUCACGUGAUGAUAAUGAUCCUAAUGACAUUCUUUGAUUUCAUUGCAUUUGUCUUGGAUAUUCAAUUACGAUGAGUAUUUGAGGAUUCGGGAGGCGCAUGUUUCUAAUCCUACGUAAUCAAAAAUUCUAGAAGAAACGGACUCAAGAGCUUGAUUCCCACGAAAAUUAAACUCCAAAGAUUCGGAACCUAAACUCCGGUGGUGAAAGUCCAUCAUCAAGUCUCGUUGUUCUAAGUUCGUUGCUCUAAAAAAGGACUAAAACCAUCCUUACUCAAGUCAAAAAUCUCUGUCAAAAUCUGUCCAGGGGCUGUAUACAUUUGUAUUAAUUAGAAAUACACUGGGAUAGCUUCAGCUACGCGUUAUUAUAUUGUUUACAUAAAAAAUGGAAGCAAACAUGCUGAUUUCUACACUGAUAUACAGUGUAUACGUGGUGAUGUGCAUAAAAAUGCAGAUGUUGAAGCUGAUGAUAUACAACUGGUAUACACUUCAGAAAAUGGACUGAAGUCAAUAAUUCAAGGCCCCAAAGCUGGGCAGCUUUAUUGAUGGCCUAAUUAAGGGCCCAAUUUCAAUUCUUGUAUUUAUUUUUGUAGCUUGUAUUGUUUAUUUAUAUCAACUAACAUUUUAAUCAAUUAACCUAGAUAAAUUUCCUA
This is an RNA transcript of Capsicum annuum, 3628 nucleotides long. RefSeq lists it as uncharacterized. The record is from RefSeq and is a predicted model, not a curated record. Lineage: Eukaryota; Viridiplantae; Streptophyta; Magnoliopsida; Solanales; Solanaceae. The transcript has 9 exons.